ACUUUGGGUCCUUUCAAAUCCAGGUCAACAUCAGGUAUGGAGAUCUUGGGAGCUUUGAUAUUUAUUUCAGGCAUCUUGAACUUGGGGCCCUUUAGUUUCGCAUCUGGACCUUCGAUAUUCACAUCAGGAACAUCAACGUCCACUUUGGGUCCUGAGACAUCAAUGUCAGCCUUGGGCAGGUUCACAUCCACAUCUGGGCCCUCUCCUUUGAAGCCAGGCAUGCUGAACUUGGGCAUUUUCACUUUGGGCAUUUUUAAGUGCCAGUCUGGGCCUUGAACGUCCACAUCUGGGCCCUCUCCUUUGAAGCCAGGCAUGCUGAAUUUGGGCAUUUUCACUUUGGGCAUUUUUAGGUGCCAGUCUGGAGCUUGGACAUCGGGGGCAUUUACAUC
Molecule: long non-coding RNA, 389 nt
Filed under: Homo sapiens (human)
Lineage: Eukaryota; Metazoa; Chordata; Mammalia; Primates; Hominidae
Description: HSALNT0176013
Source: RNAcentral